GAUGAACGCUGGCGGCGUGCCUAAUACAUGCAAGUCGAGCGAACGGACGAGAAGCUUGCUUUUCUGAUGUUAGCGGCGGACGGGUGAGUAACACGUGGAUAACCUACCUAUAAGACUGGGAUAACUUCGGGAAACCGGAGCUAAUAUCGGAUAAUAUUUUGAACCGCAUGGUUCAAAAGUGAAAGACGGUCUUGCUGUCACUUAUAGAUGGAUCCGCGCUGCAUUAGCUAGUUGGUAAGGUAACGGCUUACCAAGGCAACGAUGCAUAGCCGACCUGAGAGGGUGAUCGGCCACACUGGAACUUAGACACGGUCCAGACUCCUACGGGAGGCAGCAGUAGGGAAUCUUCCGCAAUGGGCGAAAGCCUGACGGAGCAACGCCGCGUGAGUGAUGAAGGUCUUCGGAUCGUAAAACUCUGUUAUUAGGGAAGAACAUAUGUGUAAGUAACUGUGCACAUCUUGACGGUACCUAAUCAGAAAGCCACGGCUAACUACGUG
Molecule: ribosomal RNA, 497 nt
Filed under: uncultured bacterium
Lineage: Bacteria
Description: partial 16S ribosomal RNA
Rfam family: Bacterial small subunit ribosomal RNA
Source: RNAcentral